AGAGAGCGUCCUGUAGGGAAACCACACUCCCUGGCCACGGUGACCCGCCGCUCUGGGGCUUUUCCCAGCUUGCUUUGAUGAGGAAGUGAAGGCACCGGGCCGCUGAGCGUCUCGCCAAGUAUUACUUCCGGUGCAACGGGGGCUCGGCCCCUCCCCUCCAGAUGUCCAGCGCAGGCUUCCUCCUGUGACAACCACGCGCAUUUCUCCCAUCCUAUCGCCAUCCAUUACGGUUCCUGCUACUGAUCUCUCUGGGAGAUCUGUCUUCAGUCGGGAACUCACAAAGCCUUGUUGUCAGUGGUGUGGAAGAAAUUCAGUUAGAAGCGUCCCCAAGUACAUCUCUGGACCCAUCCUUGGCGGGCAGGAGGGUGAGUUCCCUUUCGCCGGAUACCAACGAGCGACAUCACACAGAUUCUUUAAAUGUUAGAGCGGGACCCUGGGUCGUAUAAGCCCAGCCUCUCAUGGCACUGACACCCGCAAGGGUAACCUCCUGAGCCCCCCAUGAGGAUAGACAGGUUCUGGCUCCUGUGGCUGACCUGUCCUUCCUCUUACAGAAU
RNAcentral lists this long non-coding RNA (554 nucleotides) under Felis catus (domestic cat). Its description in RNAcentral is "lncRNA (ENSFCAG00000053661.1)". The record is from RNAcentral. Lineage: Eukaryota; Metazoa; Chordata; Mammalia; Carnivora; Felidae.